This 72-nucleotide transfer RNA is filed under the name Sterkiella histriomuscorum. RNAcentral describes it as "tRNA-Met". Lineage: Eukaryota; Ciliophora; Spirotrichea; Sporadotrichida; Oxytrichidae. The record is from RNAcentral.
GCGUACUAGGCUCAUAACCUAGGGGUCGGUGGAUCGAAACCACUCUCCGCUACUUUUUUUUCAUCAAAUUGC